Molecule: non-coding RNA, 202 nt
Organism: Oryza meridionalis
Lineage: Eukaryota; Viridiplantae; Streptophyta; Magnoliopsida; Poales; Poaceae
Source: Rfam
CCGUUCUGCAGCCAUAAAUUUCCAUAUCCAACUUUGAUCGUCCUUCUUAUUUGAUUUUUUUUAUAAUUAGUAUUUUUAUUGUUAUGAGAUGAUAAAACAUGAAUAAACUUUAUACGUGACUUAUGUUUUUUAUUUUUUUAAAAUUUUUUUAAAUAAGACGGACAAUCAAAGUUGUGUACAGAAAAUUAUGACUGCACUUAAA